AAGGCGAAAUAGGCGACAUGGAGCGAACCCCAAAAACUAAAACGUCCCAGUUCUGAUUGCAGGCUGCAACCCGCCUGCAUGAAGCCGGAAUCGCUAGUAAUCGCGGAUCAGAAUGCCGCGGUGAAUACGUUCCCGGGUCUUGUACACACCGCCCGUCACACCAUGGGAGUCGAUAACGCCCGAAGUCAGUGACCCAACCGAAAGGAGGGAGCUGCCGAAGGCGGGAUGGAUAACUGGGGUGAAGUCGUAACAAGGUACC
Molecule: ribosomal RNA, 259 nt
Filed under: uncultured bacterium
Lineage: Bacteria
Description: partial 16S ribosomal RNA
Rfam family: Bacterial small subunit ribosomal RNA
Source: RNAcentral